Molecule: non-coding RNA, 269 nt
Organism: Schizosaccharomyces pombe (fission yeast)
Lineage: Eukaryota; Fungi; Ascomycota; Schizosaccharomycetes; Schizosaccharomycetales; Schizosaccharomycetaceae
Source: the annotation of a GenBank genome assembly
AAAAAAAAAAGACGGGGAAAAAAAGGAGAGGAAAGGAAGAAAAAGGAGAAGACAAGACAAACUGCAAAAAAGAAAAUGAGUUUGCAAAAGGACGAAUCUGCAAUUUCAACUAAAUUCUAUCAAAAAAAAAUGAAUGAAUAGAAUAUAGAGUAGAGUAGUUAUAAAAAUGGAAAGGAAAGGAAAGGAAAAUCGCGAGUUUCCCAAAAACAAAUGAAUUUCGUUAAAACCAAACGAAAACGUUUGUUAAAGGUAUAGGGAAAGGGAAAGAG